UUUAUGGAGAGUUUGAUCCUGGCUCAGGAUGAACGCUGGCGGCGUGCCUAAUACAUGCAAGUCGAGCGAACAGACGAG
RNAcentral lists this ribosomal RNA (78 nucleotides) under Staphylococcus epidermidis. Its description in RNAcentral is "partial 16S ribosomal RNA". It matches the Rfam family "Bacterial small subunit ribosomal RNA", at positions 1 to 78 of the family's 1533-position model. Lineage: Bacteria; Bacillati; Bacillota; Bacilli; Caryophanales; Staphylococcaceae. RNAcentral also lists the same sequence under 1 other name. The record is from RNAcentral.